GAGUGGGACAGAUCUUUUGGAAUUUGUCUAGUGGGGUUUUCACAACACUGCACUGGAAAACUCCCCC
Small nuclear RNA from Bubalus bubalis (water buffalo), 67 nucleotides. RefSeq annotates it as U7 small nuclear RNA. NCBI's taxonomy places the organism in Eukaryota, Metazoa, Chordata, Mammalia, Artiodactyla, Bovidae. The record is from RefSeq and is a predicted model, not a curated record. The transcript has a single exon.